RNAcentral lists this ribosomal RNA (741 nucleotides) under Triticum aestivum (bread wheat). Its description in RNAcentral is "partial small subunit ribosomal RNA". Lineage: Eukaryota; Viridiplantae; Streptophyta; Magnoliopsida; Poales; Poaceae. The record is from RNAcentral.
ACCCGGCAAGUAUGGCCGCUACUUCAAGAUCCUGAAUCAUUAAGUGCUUGAGUUCUACGAGCUCGUUAUUACCCGGACAGCAACAUACUUGAUGCAGCACUAGGCACACAUCCUUCCCAAGGUUUAAUCAGAAGGAUUGGGUUGGGCUUGGACACAUGCAUAUGGGAGGACAACUGGUUGCCUCGUGACUACAAGCUGAAACCCAUAUGCCCCAUAUCACCUGAUCCGCUGCAGCUUGUCUUAGAGUUAAUUGAUGCAACAACACGCACAUGGAAUAAACAAGUUCUGAACGAGCACUUCAUCAGUCCAGAUGUGGAUAUCAUCAUGACUAUACCUUUAAGUUUCCGAGUGCAACAUGACUUCUGGGCAUGGCACUAUGAUAGACGAGGGGUGUUUACCGUGCGCUCAGCUUACAAGAUGAUUAGCAGUAUCAAACACCAGAGAGAGGACUGGUUAGAGCAUAGAACAAGCCACUCAAAUGUGGAAGCAGAAAGUAAGUCCUGGACUCAACUAUGGAAGGUUAAAGUCCCAUCUAAGAUAAGGGUGUUUGUAUGGAGACUAGCACAAAUGUCGCUACCGACUGGUGCAGUCCGCAAUGAGCGAAACAUGGCCACAUCCCCAGCUUGCGGACUCUAUGAUGAGGAGGUGGAUUCCUGACGUCAUUCCUUGUUUGAAUGCGGGAUGGCGUGAUGUGUUUGGGCGCUAGGAGAUGAGGAGACUCUGGAGCAUGUGAUAUCAAAC